Molecule: ribosomal RNA, 277 nt
Filed under: Clostridioides difficile
Lineage: Bacteria; Bacillati; Bacillota; Clostridia; Peptostreptococcales; Peptostreptococcaceae
Description: partial 16S ribosomal RNA
Rfam family: Bacterial small subunit ribosomal RNA
Source: RNAcentral
UUAUUUGAGAGUUUGAUCCUGGCUCAGGAUGAACGCUGGCGGCGUGCCUAACACAUGCAAGUUGAGCGAUUUACUUCGGUAAAGAGCGGCGGACGGGUGAGUAACGCGUGGGUAACCUACCCUGUACACACGGAUAACAUACCGAAAGGUAUGCUAAUACGGGAUAAUAUAUUUGAGAGGCAUCUCUUAAAUAUCAAAGGUGAGCCAGUACAGGAUGGACCCGCGUCUGAUUAGCUAGUUGGUAAGGUAACGGCUUACCAAGGCGACGAUCAGUAGC